CCUACGGGAGGCAGCAGUAGGGAAUUUUCCGCAAUGGGCGAAAGCCUGACGGAGCAAUACCGCGUGAGGGAUGACUGCCUAUGGGUUGUAAACCUCUUUUUUCAGGGAGGAAUAAAUGACGUGUACCUGAAGAAUAAGCAUCGGCUAACUCCGUGCCAGCAGCCGCGGUAAGACGGAGGAUGCAAGUGUUAUCCGGAAUCACUGGGCGUAAAGCGUCUGUAGGUGGCUCGACAAGUCAACUGUUAAAUCUUGAAGCUCAACUUCAAAAUCGCAGUCGAAACUAUCGGACUAGAGUAUAGUAGAGGUAAAGGGAAUUUCCAGUGGAGCGGUGAAAUGCGUAGAGAUUGGAAAGAACACCGAUGGCGAAGGCACUUUACUGGGCUAUUACUGACACUCAGAGACGAAAGCUAGGGUAGCAAAUGGGAUUAGAUACCCCAGUAGUCCUAGCCGUAAACAAUGGAUACUAGGUGUUGAACAGAUCGACCUGUGCAGUACCAAAGCUAACGCGUUAAGUAUCCCGCCUGGGAAGUAUGCACGCAGUGUGAACUACAAGAAGUAGACGGCGUGAGACGUAGCCGAACGGACGACGACGAGGGAGGUAGG
RNAcentral lists this ribosomal RNA (603 nucleotides) under uncultured bacterium. RNAcentral describes it as "bacterial SSU rRNA". It matches the Rfam family "Bacterial small subunit ribosomal RNA", at positions 338 to 1325 of the family's 1533-position model. The record is from RNAcentral.